GAUGAAGAACGUAGCGAAAUGCGAUAAGUAAUGUGAAUUGCAGAAUUCAGUGAAUCAUCGAAUCUUUGAACGCACAUUGCGCCCGCCAGCAUUCUGGCGGGCAUGCCUGUUCGAGCGUCAUUUCAACCCUCGACCUCCCCUUGGGGAAGUCGGCGUUGGGGACCGGCAGCACACCGCCGGCCCUGAAAUGGAGUGGCGGCCCGUCUGCGGCGACCUCUGCGUAGUAAUACAGCUCGCACCGGAACCCCGACGCGGCCACGCCGUAAAACACCCAACUUCUGAACGUUGACCUCGAAUCAGGUAGGACUACCCGCUGAACUUAAGCAUAUCAAUAAGCGGAGGA
Molecule: unclassified non-coding RNA, 343 nt
Filed under: soil metagenome
Description: partial contains 5.8S ribosomal RNA, internal transcribed spacer 2, and large subunit ribosomal RNA
Rfam family: 5.8S ribosomal RNA (bases 1-120)
Source: RNAcentral